This 492-nucleotide ribosomal RNA is filed under the name uncultured bacterium. Its description in RNAcentral is "partial 16S ribosomal RNA". It matches the Rfam family "Bacterial small subunit ribosomal RNA", at positions 29 to 507 of the family's 1533-position model. The record is from RNAcentral.
AGUGAACGCUGGCGGUAGGCCUAACACAUGCAAGUCGAACGGCAGCACAGUAAGAGCUUGCUCUUACGGGUGGCGAGUGGCGGACGGGUGAGGAAUACAUCGGAAUCUACUUUUUCGUGGGGGAUAACGUAGGGAAACUUACGCUAAUACCGCAUACGACCUACGGGUGAAAGCAGGGGAUCUUCGGACCUUGCGCGAUUGAAUGAGCCGAUGUCGGAUUAGCUAGUUGGCGGGGUAAAGGCCCACCAAGGCGACGAUCCGUAGCUGGUCUGAGAGGAUGAUCCGCCCACCGGGGACUGGGACCCCGUCCAGGCUCCUACGGGAGGCAGCAGUGGGGAAUAUUGGACAAUGGGCGCAAGCCUGAUCCAGCCAUACCGCGUGGGUGAAGAAGGCCUUCGGGUUGUAAAGCCCUUUUGUUGGGAAAGAAAAGCAGCAGGUUAAUACCCCGCUGUUCUGACGGUACCCAAAGAAUAAGCACCGGCUAACUUCGUG